Molecule: transfer RNA, 67 nt
Filed under: Alleculinae sp. ALL01
Lineage: Eukaryota; Metazoa; Arthropoda; Insecta; Coleoptera; Tenebrionidae
Description: tRNA-Ser
Source: RNAcentral
AACUAAUGAGCUUGAACAAGCGUAUAUUUUGAAAAUAUAUGAAAGAAAAGUCUAUUUCUAUUAGUUU